GGACUACUAGGGUAUCUAAUCCCGUUCGCUCCCCUGGCUUUCGCACCUCAGCGUCAGGCGCCAGCCAGGACCCUGCCUUCGCCAUCGGUGUUCCUCCGGAUCUCUACGCAUUUCACCGCUCCACCCGGAAUUCCAGGUCCCUCUCUGGCCCUCCAGUCGCGCAGUCUGUGCGACCCUUGGGCAGUUAAGCCGCCCACUGUCCCCGCACUCUUACGCGACCGCCUGCGUGCCCUUUACGCCCAGUAACUCCGGACAACGCUCGCCCCCUACGUAUUACCGCGGCUGCUGGCAC
Molecule: ribosomal RNA, 292 nt
Filed under: uncultured bacterium
Lineage: Bacteria
Description: partial 16S ribosomal RNA
Source: RNAcentral